RNAcentral lists this ribosomal RNA (490 nucleotides) under uncultured bacterium. Its description in RNAcentral is "partial 16S ribosomal RNA". It matches the Rfam family "Bacterial small subunit ribosomal RNA", at positions 30 to 507 of the family's 1533-position model. The record is from RNAcentral.
AUUGAACGCUGGCGGCAGGCCUAACACAUGCAAGUCGAACGGUAACAGGGAUCAGCUUGCUGAUUCGCUGACGAGUGGCGGACGGGUGAGUAAUGUCUGGGAAACUGCCUGAUGGAGGGGGAUAACUACUGGAAACGGUAGCUAAUACCGCAUAACGUCGCAAGACCAAAGAGGGGGACCUUCGGGCCUCUUGCCAUCGGAUGUGCCCAGAUGGGAUUAGCUAGUAGGUGGGGUAACGGCUCACCUAGGCGACGAUCCGUAGCUGGUCCGAGAGGAUGACCCGCCACACUGGGACUGCGACACGCUCCGGCCGCACACGGGCGGCAGCCGCGCGGAAUUUUGGAAGAUGGGCGUAUGCUUGAUCGAUCAAUGCCGCGUGAAGGAUGAAGGUAUUCUUGUUGUAAGCUGCUUUUGUCCGGACCGACAAGCCCUCUUCUUACACAGGCGGGUCCUGACGCCACCGUAAGAACAAGCCACGGCUAACUACGGG